RNAcentral lists this long non-coding RNA (2698 nucleotides) under Homo sapiens (human). RNAcentral's name for it is "HSALNT0131980". Lineage: Eukaryota; Metazoa; Chordata; Mammalia; Primates; Hominidae. The record is from RNAcentral.
UGAAUGGCCAGAUCACCUUGGACAAAUCAGAUGAAUACUGCUUAUUUUUUUUAAGGACAGAAAAACCCUGCUUUUCUGCCUCAGUGUGAAGCAUGCACUGAAUAUCCUCUAUGUGUAAAUGGAAAGCACUGGGAUUGAAGCUGGGGAGUAGAGGUCUGCUUGGAGAGUUGUGCCAUGUGCCUGCUGCAGGCUCAUCCCUGCUGGUUUUAACUGUGCUGACACCGGGCAGUGGAACAUAUUUCUCCCCUCCUCUCAGUGGCUGUGGAUGACUGUCUUUAGGAUUAGUUCUUUAUGGAAGCCACAGCAAUGAACAAGACACAAUCCUGGACCCCAUGAGCUCACAGUGAGUGACAGCAGCCACUACAGUGUUAACGAAAGUUUAAUUCGGAGGCCAAUGGGCUGGGAUGGCCCCAGCACUUUUAGUUCCUAUGUAAGCAAACCAAACUCCCGUGUAAAUGGUGAAAUGAAACGAGAGCCCUUACCAAUCAGAAACCACCAGCUGAACCCUAAGUAGGAAUUCUACCAUCCAGAAACUGCCAACUGACCUCUAAGUAGAGACUCCACCAAUCAGAAACUAUCAAUUAACUCUAAGUAGGGAUUUUUCAAACUAAUCCAACAUGUUUUGUUUUGUUUCCAGGAACAACUUAUGAAAUUUUCUGUCUCACCUCUGAAGCCCUAGAGAAGUGCUACACUGCUUGCAGUCUGGUGCUGCCCAAUUUAUGAACUGCUGUCUGUUCAAAUAAACUCCACAGAAUUUUAAUGUGCCUAAGUUGAUCUUUUAACAACAGAAAUGCCCAAACCUCAGGAAAACAAGGAUGGCUCACCCUAGAUAGCCAAGCAGGGCAUGAGACGACGUCCUGUGCAUGGGAGUCACCUAGCUGGUGAGUGAGCAGCUGGAUGUAGACCGUGCAUGCCAGAUUUUGUUUAAGGCUCUCCCAUGUGGGUGUGCAGCACAUGCACUGAUAUGAGCCACAUGGCCUCUUCCUGCCUGCAAAGCUUCCACUUGACACAUUUGCUGGCACUGAGCCAUCCUUGCAUUCCUGAGAUAAACCUUACAUGAUUGAGAGCCAUCACUGUGUUAAAAGUAUGGGCACAUGCAUAUUUAUUAGGUAUACAUAGGCAUACUUCUGUACCUGUAAAUGUCUAAUGUCUUAUUUAAUAUUUUCCAUCUGUUCCCAGCAGUCAAUCUGACCUAUAAUUUUCUUUUCUUAUUCUGUCCUUGGCCUGUUUUGUUACCAAGAAUAUAUCAUUCUCAUGUUAGCCAAGUAGCUUUCCCCUCUUUUGUAUUCCCUGGCACAUACUCACUCACUCUUUCUCUCUCUCUCUCUCAAGGAAAGAGAGAUCUAGUUAUUUAAAAUUAUGGAUUUAUUUACUGGUAGUAAGUUUAUUUGCAUUCUCACUGAAUUGUUCAAUUUUAUUUUUUAGACAAAUUGUCCUUUUUAUCUAGCUUUUUAAAUUUUACAUCAUAAAAUUGCUCAUUGUGUUAUAUUUUUUCAAAAAAUUAUAUUUCUAAUAGGCUUUAAAUUUUUUUUCUGAUUUGGUGAGUUUUGAUAGAGAUUGUCUAUUUUUAACUAACUAGCAUUUUGUUUUCUAUUUUGAUUAUUUUUUAUUUUAUAUUUAUCAUUUUCUUUCUCUUAUUUUAUUUAGCGUACUCUGUUCUUUUUCUAGCUCAUUUUGCUAUGUAAGUCAUUUAUUUUUAUUUUCCUUGUCAUUUUCCAAUAAAUACAUGUAUGAACUUUUAAGGUUGCAAUCUAAGUUGCAUUUUAGCUGUCUUCCUACAAAUACUGAUAUAAGUUCAUUUUAUAUUAAUUCCAAGUAUUUUACAAUAUUCAUUGCGGCACUGUUAAGUUAUGAAUUAUGGAGAAGAGUACUGUAUUGGUCAAUUUUCAUGCUGCUGAUAAAGACAUACCCAAGACUGGGCAAUUUACAAAAGAAAGAGACUUAUUGGACUUACGGUUCCAUGUAGCUGGGGAGGCCUCACAAUCAUGGUGGGAGAUGAAGGGCAUGUCUCACAUGGCAGCAGACAAGAGAAGAGAGCUUGUACAGGGAAACUCCCAUUUUUAAAACCAUCAGAUCUCAUGAGACUCAUUCACUAUCAAGACAACAGAGCAGGAAAGACCCACCCCCAAAAUUCAAUCACCUCCCAACAUGCUCUUUCCAUGACAUGUGGGGAUUGUGGGAGUUACAAUUCAAGAUGAGAUUUGGGUAGGGACACAGCCAAACCAUAUCAAGUGCUUUCUGUUGACAUUUGAUUAUUUUCAAGUAUAUGAGGAUGUUUGUUUAUAUUAUUUCUAACUCAACUGCAUUACAUUAUGAGGGAGUAGCCACAUCAUAUUUAUUCUUUAAAAUGUUUGUAAUUGAUUUUGUUACUCUUUGGGUUAUGCUUAAAAAGAGUGUUUAUUCUACACUUGGUAAUACAUAUUUAUCAUAUUACAUUUGUCGUUGUGUUGUUCAAAUCAUCUAUAUCCUCACUAAUUUGUCUGCUUGAGCAAUUCCUUUUCUGAGAAAAUAUACUGAAAUCUAUAAUUGUAGGUUUGUCAAUUUCUCCUUUUUAUUUUAUGAAAUUUAAUGCUAGUUGUAAAAAGCUUAUUAGUUCAUACUUAUUAUGCUCCUGAUUAAUUGGAUUUUUAACCUAUGUAGUGUUUCUUAUCUUUUAUUUUGUAUUUUGCCUUAACUAAAGUUUAUUAAAAUAAAGAUC